Small nucleolar RNA from Oncorhynchus kisutch (coho salmon), 74 nucleotides. Its record names the gene SNORD82. It matches the Rfam family "Small nucleolar RNA SNORD82". Rfam says of the family: snoRNA U82 or Z25 is found in both humans and mice. U82/Z25 is a member of the C/D class of snoRNA which contain C (UGAUGA) and D (CUGA) box motifs. The record is from Ensembl. Lineage: Eukaryota; Metazoa; Chordata; Actinopteri; Salmoniformes; Salmonidae.
AGCACACUUGAUGAACAACAAGGGACUUAAUACUGAAUGUAAUUGAUGUCACUACUUAUUUUUAUCUGAUGUGC